GCACUUGAAAGUAAUCUGAGUCUAUUCAAGGAAUUUGACUUGAAGGUAAUCAGAGGGUCUAUUCGAGGAAUUUAAGUCACUUUGACUCUCUGUAAGUGGUCCGUCCACAUUUAGUUUAUGAACGUCCAAAUAGUUGAAAUUUUUUCUUUUUAUAAUAUUUCUUUGUUUUUCUCUCCAAAUUAAAACUACCAUUUCAUUUAACUUAAUUUUCUCCUUUUAUUAUAACCAAUUUAAUUAUUAUUCUUAUAUUAAGUGUUAACAACCACAAAUCUGCGCGUGUACGAUAGCCUUUAAAUUUCUAAAUUCCUUUGGUUUGUGCUGAACAGAGACCAGAGAGAAGACGACUUCCUUGUUAGCACUUGAUCCUCGCGCAUUGAUUCCAGUGUCGUGAUCUAUACGUUUAUUUCCGCAACUGUUGUCUUAAUCUAACCGCAUCACAGAUCGUGAUUUACUUAUCAAACCCGCAACCACUCUAAGUGAUUCAACCCGAAUUAGAAGACCCAAUAAGUCCAGCGCAGGCCUGCUGAAGCUGGAUACAGACACAUUAAGGUAAACUAAAUCAGCUCGUGUAUGGCGGCCGUAAAAGCCACGCAACUCACUGCUGCAGCCCUUCUCAAGGCAAGUUGAGAGUAUGAGUGUAACUAGAGGUAACGUGGGACAAACAAACAGAAGCUUAAUAUUAUAUUUUCUUGUAUUUAGUUAGAUAUCAUGUUUUGUUUCGUUUUAGAAUAUUUUUUUUAACUGUGUAUGACCAUCUUACCUGAAUUCAAUCUUCUGUAAUUCCUAUCAUAUGCAUUAUACAUGUAGUAGAUA
This is a long non-coding RNA of Anthonomus grandis grandis, 813 nucleotides long. RefSeq lists it as uncharacterized. The record is from RefSeq and is a predicted model, not a curated record. The transcript has 2 exons. NCBI's taxonomy places the organism in Eukaryota, Metazoa, Arthropoda, Insecta, Coleoptera, Curculionidae.